RNAcentral lists this ribosomal RNA (460 nucleotides) under uncultured bacterium. Its description in RNAcentral is "partial 16S ribosomal RNA". It matches the Rfam family "Bacterial small subunit ribosomal RNA", at positions 338 to 795 of the family's 1533-position model. The record is from RNAcentral.
CCUACGGGAGGCAGCAGUGAGGAAUAUUGGUCAAUGGACGAGAGUCUGAACCAGCCAAGUAGCGUGAAGGAUGACUGCCCUAUGGGUUGUAAACUUCUUUUAUAAAGGAAUAAAACGCGGCACGUGUGCCUUUUUGCAUGUACUUUAUGAAUACGGAUCGGCUAACUCCGUGCCAGCAGCCGCGGUAAUACGGAGGAUCCGGGCGUUAUCCGGAUUUAGUGGGUGUAAAGGGAGCGUAGAUGGGUUGUUAAGUCAGUUGUGAAAGUUUGCGGCUCAACCGUAAAAUUGCAAUUGAUACUGGCAGUCUUGAGUACAGUUGAGGUAGGCGGAAUUCGUGGUGUAGCGGUGAAAUGCUUAGAUAUCACGAAGAACCCCGAUUGCGAAGGCAGCUUACUAAACUGUGACUGACAUUGAUGCUCGAAAGUGUGGGUAUCAAACAGGAUUAGAUACCCCUGUAGUC